UCCCAUGGAUUCAGAUACACACCAUUAUGAUAUGCUCAAUAGUCUUGAUCUCACCAAGAUCAGUUGGGGUAUACUUGUGAAGGUAGACCAUAUUUAUCCUUGCGUUGGUGACGAAGUUUAUGAGCUUGAUCUCGGUUACCCUAAGCAUGCAUGGUCCAUCAACCUUAUGGUAUUUGAUGCUCAGGUAUUUUUACUUUAACCAUUUAUAUUUGUAUUCUCAUAGAUCGAUUAUACAUUUAACUUUUCUUUCUUUCCUUAAAAUAUCUUAAGGGUACUCGAAUGGAAGUGUUGAUUAAGGGCCCUGAGAUGCUGGCUUGGUUUAAGAACCGGUUUAAAGUUAAUAAAACUUAUGACAUCACAAACCUAUAAGUGAACCAUGGAGGUCAACCUGUUCAUAGGAAGUAUCACAUUUCAUUGUUGCCGUGUUCUGAAAUACGUGAACACUCCUCUAAUUUCCUUGGCCACAACUUCAAGCUCUGUUUAGUUCAUGAACUCAAGGCAAGUAAUUUCCCUUCUUCCCGUCUAAUCGGUGAGUAAUUUUUCAUUCCUUUUAUGUUAGUAUGUUUUAUGUCAUAUAGUCAUUAGUGGUCAUAUCACACUUAUUAAUUCGUCUUGUAGAUGUUGCUGGUCUUUGUGUGCAUGUUGGAGACCUUGAAUGGGAGAACGUCGAAGAUCAUGAUAACCUGUUGACAAGGAAGCUGUGGAUAGUUCUGUAGGAUAUACAGUGGGACAUGAUUCCUUGUGUCUUACAAGGAGAUUGUGCAGUGGAUGCAUGGACAACAUACCAAGCAUGCAAGGAUCAUGAAAGCCCACUUUAUGUAGUCAUCCAAUAUGCUAUUUUGUUUAGAGGCCUCGGGAGCAAUCGUCUAGAAGAGUUCAAGAAUGCUACUAAAGUCUAUUGGUAUACCGACCCUCUACACCCUGACCUUGCUGCCAGCAACUUAGCUAUGUGAAGAGGAUUUUAUCUUUAGUCAAGACUUGUGUAGGUUAUUAGUAGUUUUUACUUCUUUUAUGUUUUUCAUCUUUUAUCUUUUUGUUAUCUAGGUGUUUUGUAUGGUUUAGACCAACAUAGUGUCUCCACUAAGCAUUGUAAUUUUAUUACAUGGUAUAGGCCAUGUUAUAUAUUAAGAGUAGAUAAUCAGUACUUUAGCCAAUGGCUUGACUAUUACCAAUUCACUAUUCUGAAUUUAUAUAGUUGCUUAUU
This is a long non-coding RNA of Prosopis cineraria, 1204 nucleotides long. RefSeq lists it as uncharacterized. The record is from RefSeq and is a predicted model, not a curated record. NCBI's taxonomy places the organism in Eukaryota, Viridiplantae, Streptophyta, Magnoliopsida, Fabales, Fabaceae. The transcript has 3 exons.